UUUGAAUUUAAUUUUUAUUCUUUCUCUUGUCAGAGGAAAAUAAAUUUAUAGAGAUCCACUGAAAUCCAGUGUAAAUUUCUUAAAAGAUGAACAACAGAAGGUUCAGUCAAUGUGAUUCAAAGCAUAGUUUGUCAAAAAGGUUAAAGGUUAAGGUGUAGAAUUGUGAGAGCUUGGAGGAGAGGUGGCAGUAAUUUAAAAAUAAUGCUGUAAAUAUCUUCAGACAAAGAGUGUGUGCAUAUAUAAUUUUGAAAUACUAGUAGACAACUAAGUAAAACAGGAUCGUACUAUAAUGUUCAUAAAAAUAUAGACUAUCCUCCAUAUUGUAAGUCCCACCUUAAAUAUUAUCCAUAGGUUCCAGCUUUCAGGUACUAUUUUUAUUUUACUAUAACCAUAGAAUAUUCCUCUAUAAGGACUACUUCGUACACAUUUGGGAAAUGAGCUGGUCUUGAAAUAAAACACUAUCUUUAUAUAUUUUGGUAAGGCAGCCACAACCUGGCGGACUAUAUUCAACAUCUGAAGGUGACCGGGCAUCCACAAUUAAGGGCUUUUGACUCCCCUGGCAGGCACAUUCACGUGCUCCCCCGGAUUGCAACACCGAUGAUAUUUCACUGAACACGCUCGUUCUUAGAUUAGAAAAUUCCUGGAGUCGUCGCAUAUCCAGCAUAAGGAGGUGAAACUAUCCAGAGGAGAAAACAAACUUACAAAAUGUAAUAUAUAUCUGAUGAAAAAAAUAAUGUUGGCUAACUACGGAAAAAUUUUGUCAUUUCAGACUUUAAAUUUAACCAAGUAGCAUCUUAGCCAUGAGGAAUUUACACAUUGUGGUGCUGAGAGAGAACACCUGCUCCUGGAUAUCAGCAUCUGUUCCAUAUUGCCCUGUGUGAAUUUCUGCACUUUCUGGUCCUUGGAUGAGGUCAGCCAACCACACUGUCAUUUGCUUAGAUGUCUGCUUUUCUGGAAUUCUCCAAUUGCUAGUCAACACAAUCUCUAUUUUCCUUGACCUGACUCUCAAGGAACUCAGAUAUACAGUUUCAUUUUUGGCUAUCCCUAGUCUUGUGGGCUUGUAAGAAACACAGAUGAUGUUCAAGACUGCAGAGACUCAGUAAAUUUCCUCAAGCCUUUUCUGCCUCAGCAAGUCAUGCCGGCAUCUCUACACUUCUGCUGCUACCACCGGCUGGCACACAUCAGGAAGAGCCCGCACCCUGCUUGUUCACUUUUCCGAGAAAGCGGAGUGCACAGCUCUGUUUAGAUUAUCUCAGCUAAAGCCUAAUCCAACCAAUGGCUCUCUGGAGAUGGGGCCAGGGCCAUCCAAUGUCCCUGUACAGAGAACCUCACUGUACUCUUCCCUCUGUAAUUUCUCGUCUUCUUCCCAACCUGUGGAAUUUUAAAUACAAUCUAGGUGGCUGGGGAGGAAAAAGCCUAGCUCUUACUAUAUAUUCUCUGUUUAUUGUUUAGACAGGGAAGCUUGGCUCUUGCUAUUCAAUAGAUACAUGUGAAAACUCAAAAAAAUUUUGUCUCAAUGACAUGGACUUGACUUUGAGGCUCAAAAGUCUACUUUAAAACAACAGCAACAAGUAUGCUCAGUAGAUUCCUUGUAUUACUACUGUAAGAACUCUACCCCGAGGGCAGUAAGUAUAAAACGUCUUGAGAAGUCCCUAAAUUUGAGAAGUGGGUGGGGAAAAGACAGAGGGAGCUAGAAAUGUUGGAAAUGCAAAGCACAGUAAGUCAUUAUAAUUUUAUUCCUCCGUGCAUGUAAAGUACUCGGAAUAAUGCCAACUAUGUAAAAAACACAGAUUUAUAUUAAAUCUGUAGGAAAUUAGCAGAGCAUAUAUUAUCAGGACUUUACAAGAUAGGGAAAUUGAAACACAAAGGUUUACUUAAUCACGAACAGUCUCAGGCAAGUGGGAGAGGCAUAACUAAAACAUACGCUCCCUAAUAAUUUUCUGUUUUCUUUCCAGGAUAUUGUGUGGCCUCAGGCAUUUGGGUAAAAGUAAGAGAUACUAAUUAGUCCUUCAUGUGUGCCAAGGCAGCAGUUCAUGUUUCUGUCAUUCUUUUAAACGAAUAGUAAACAGAUCUAAAAUAAAGAUACCAUUUUUGAGAUUUUUUUCUAGGUUAUAAGACUUUCCCUAACGCCAUGUCAAUUUUAACAAAUGGAUUCCUCUGCUAUAUAACAUGGAUAUUCCAUGAAUGUACAAGAGCAUAACACUUUCAGUAUGUAAGUAGGGUAUAGAGAAGUAACAUUUUGGAAAUGUUUUGGACACAUUUUGUGCGUAUUUCUAUAUAAGUCCAUAUGUCUAAUAAAGCUGGAAUUGAAAGGAGUCUAACAUUUUUAAGUGUAAAGAGGGAAAGUGUGUGCUAGUAAAUGACCCCACAUAAAGUUCCAGGAUAAAGAAUAAUGUAAUAAAAGAAGCAGUGUGAUUUUAGCUGUUCCACCAGACAAACUUUAUGUUGUUUGCUCUGUGAAAUUUCCUUAUAUAAUUUUUAAAGAGCCCAAGAAAAUAUAUAAUCAGUGAGAUGAUAGGUAGAUUUUACACUGGUUCACACUGAGGUUUUUAAAGAGCAUAAAGGAAUAUCCAAUUCAAUUUGGGCAAAAUAGGUGGCAAAAAAUGUCAAGUUCUCAACUUGCCUGAAGUUUGGUCAGCAUAUUUGACAGACCUGUACAAUUCAUUUUCAUCAGGA
RNAcentral lists this long non-coding RNA (2676 nucleotides) under Homo sapiens (human). Its description in RNAcentral is "HSALNT0081289". Lineage: Eukaryota; Metazoa; Chordata; Mammalia; Primates; Hominidae. The record is from RNAcentral.